AGUGAACGCUGGCGGUAGGCCUAACACAUGCAAGUCGAACGGCAGCACAGUAAGAGCUUGCUCUUACGGGUGGCGAGUGGCGGACGGGUGAGGAAUACAUCGGAAUCUACUUUUUCGUGGGGGAUAACGUAGGGAAACUUACGCUAAUACCGCAUACGACCUACGGGUGAAAGCAGUGGAUCUUCGGACCUUUCGCGAUUGAAUGAGCCGAUGUCGGAUUAGCUAGUUGGCGGGGUAAAGGCCCACCAAGGCGACGAUCCGUAGCUGGUCUGAGAGGAUGCUCAGCCACACUGAAGCUGAGACACGGUCCAGACUCCUGCGAGAGGCAGCAGUGGGGAUUAUUGGACGAUGGGAGCAAGCCUGAUCCAGCCAUACCGCGUGGGUAAAGAAGUCCUUCGGGUUGUACAGCCCUUGUGUUGGGAAAGAAAAGCAGCAGGCUAAUCCACCGCUGUUAUGACGGUACCCAAAGAAUAAGCACCGGCUAACUUCGUG
This 492-nucleotide ribosomal RNA is filed under the name uncultured bacterium. Its description in RNAcentral is "partial 16S ribosomal RNA". It matches the Rfam family "Bacterial small subunit ribosomal RNA", at positions 29 to 507 of the family's 1533-position model. The record is from RNAcentral.